UCCACACUGGGACUGAGACACGGCCCAGACUCCUACGGGAGGCAGCAGUAGGGAAUCUUCCGCAAUGGACGAAAGUCUGACGGAGCAACGCCGCGUGAGUGAUGAAGGUUUUCGGAUCGUAAAGCUCUGUUGUUAGGGAAGAACAAGUGCGAGAGUAACUGCUCGCACCUUGACGGUACCUAACCAGAAAGCCACGGCUAACUACGUGCCAGCAGCCGCGGUAAUA
RNAcentral lists this ribosomal RNA (226 nucleotides) under Bacillus pumilus. RNAcentral describes it as "partial 16S ribosomal RNA". It matches the Rfam family "Bacterial small subunit ribosomal RNA", at positions 307 to 525 of the family's 1533-position model. Lineage: Bacteria; Bacillati; Bacillota; Bacilli; Caryophanales; Bacillaceae. The record is from RNAcentral.